GUUUUAAAUUCUUAGUGGCGGACGGGUGAGUAACGCGUGAGCAAUCUGCCUUUCAGAGGGGGAUAACACUCUGAAAAGAGUGCUAAUACCGCAUAACGUGUUUUGUGGCAUCGACAGGAACACCAAAGGAGCAAUCCGCUGAAAGAUGAGCUCGCGUCUGAUUAGCUAGUUGGGUGAGGUUAAACGGGCCCCACCAAGGCGACGAUCAGUAGCCGGCCUGAGAGGGUGACCGGCCACAUUGGGACUGAGACACGGCCCAAACUCCUACGGGAGGCAGCAGUGAGGAAUAUUGCACAAUGGGGGAAACCCUGAUGCAGCAACGCCGCGUGAGUGAAGAAGUAUUUCGGUAUGUAAAGCUCUAUCAGCAGGGAAGAAAAUGACGGUACCUGACUAAGAAGCCCCGGCUAACUACGUG
This 415-nucleotide ribosomal RNA is filed under the name uncultured bacterium. RNAcentral's name for it is "bacterial SSU rRNA". It matches the Rfam family "Bacterial small subunit ribosomal RNA", at positions 81 to 507 of the family's 1533-position model. The record is from RNAcentral.